UACGUAGGCAGCAAGCGUUGUUCGGAGUUACUGGGCGUAAAGGGUGUGUAGGCGGUUGUUUAAGUUUGGUGUGAAAUCUCCCGGCUUAACUGGGAGGGUGCGCCGAAUACUGAAUAACUCGAGUGCGGGAGAGGAAAGUGGAAUUCCUGGUGUAGCGGUGAAAUGCGUAGAUAUCAGGAGGAACACCGGUGGUGUAGACGGCUUUCUGGACCGUAACUGACGCUGAGACACGAAAGCGUGGGUAGCAAACAGG
This 253-nucleotide ribosomal RNA is filed under the name uncultured bacterium. Its description in RNAcentral is "partial 16S ribosomal RNA". It matches the Rfam family "Bacterial small subunit ribosomal RNA", at positions 524 to 776 of the family's 1533-position model. The record is from RNAcentral.